Molecule: non-coding RNA, 453 nt
Organism: Paramisgurnus dabryanus
Lineage: Eukaryota; Metazoa; Chordata; Actinopteri; Cypriniformes; Cobitidae
Source: RefSeq, a predicted model, not a curated record
GCCAAAAUCAAAAACAGACGCUACAGCACAUGGACUUCGCCAUUUUGCAUUGGACUGGAUCGUCAUCUCACUAGUUUACGAUCGCCAAAUUGUAGGUGAGUAAAGUUAACAAGUUUGAUGUGAUUAUCUAAAAUAUAAUUGUCUGUUGUUUAAUUACAUGUGUGACGCGUUGCAUGUUUCAGAGUAAAAUACACCUCACUACACAGAUGGUCUGUUGGAAUAUACAGCAUCAUUUCAUCGUCUAUACGGUGGGACAACCUGCUAGACAGGUUGAAGACAUCUGUAUCUACCUCAAAGAAGGCAUGGAGAGACACAUUAAAGAAUAUGUGGUAAGUGUAUGUCAACCUACUCUAUUUUUAUAUCUAUCUAUUUAUAUGUAUGUGUAUGGGUAUGUGUGUGUGUAUAAAUAUCUUAUGGAUAACUAGAUGUUUAAACAAGGUGAUCUGUUUUCAG